Molecule: ribosomal RNA, 537 nt
Filed under: Fusarium solani
Lineage: Eukaryota; Fungi; Ascomycota; Sordariomycetes; Hypocreales; Nectriaceae
Description: eukaryotic LSU rRNA
Rfam family: Eukaryotic large subunit ribosomal RNA
Source: RNAcentral
CGGAGGAAAAGAAACCAACAGGGAUUGCCCCAGUAACGGCGAGUGAAGCGGCAACAGCUCAAAUUUGAAAUCUGGCUCUCGGGCCCGAGUUGUAAUUUGUAGAGGAUGCUUUUGGUGAGGUGCCUUCCGAGUUCCCUGGAACGGGACGCCAUAGAGGGUGAGAGCCCCGUCUGGUUGGACGCCGAACCUCUGUAAAGCUCCUUCGACGAGUCGAGUAGUUUGGGAAUGCUGCUCUAAAUGGGAGGUAUAUGUCUUCUAAAGCUAAAUACCGGCCAGAGACCGAUAGCGCACAAGUAGAGUGAUCGAAAGAUGAAAAGAACUUUGAAAAGAGAGUUAAACAGUACGUGAAAUUGUUGAAAGGGAAGCGCUUGUGACCAGACUUGGGCUUGGUUGAUCAUCCGGGGUUCUCCCCGGUGCACUCUUCCGGCUCAGGCCAGCAUCAGUUCGCCCUGGGGGAUAAAGGCAUCGGGAACGUGGCUCUCUCCGGGGAGUGUUAUAGCCCGUUGCGUAAUACCCUGUGGCGGACUGAGGUUCGCG